This 396-nucleotide ribosomal RNA is filed under the name uncultured Strobilidiidae. RNAcentral describes it as "partial small subunit ribosomal RNA". It matches the Rfam family "Eukaryotic small subunit ribosomal RNA", at positions 30 to 432 of the family's 1831-position model. The record is from RNAcentral. Lineage: Eukaryota; Ciliophora; Spirotrichea; Choreotrichida; Strobilidiidae.
GCUUGUCUCAAAGAUUAAGCCAUGCAUGUCUAAGUAUAGUACCUUAUACUGCGAAACUGCGAAUGGCUCAUUAAAUCAGUUAUAAUUCAUUUGAUGGUACUUACUACUCGGAUAACCGUAGUAAUUCUAGAGCUAAUACAUGCUGUAAAGCCCGACUUCUCGGAAGGGCCGUAUUUAUUAGAUAACAGACCAGCAGCUUCGGCUAUUGUGGUGAAUCAUAGUAACUAAUCGGAUCGCAUGGGCUAGUCCCGCGACAAACCAUUCAAGUUUCUGCCCCAUCAGCUUUCGACGGUAGUGUAUUGGACUACCGUGGCUUUUACGGGUAACGGAGGAUUAGGGUUCGAUUCCGGAGAGGGAGCCUGAGAAACGGCUACCACAUCUAAGGAAGGCAGCAGG